GCAGAUUUAAGUGUUGGGCCAUUUCUCCAUUUUCUUCCUCUUUUCUUCAAUUUGGCCCAAAUAAGUACAUUAGUGUAGGCCCAAAUCUGGUCCAUAGCCAUGGGUCCAUUAAUUUGGUCCAAAAAUCUUAAGUAGGUGACUCACCUACUAACUUAAUUAAUUCAAGCAAGCACCUCAAUAUUUCAUUCCAUUUCCAGCUCCUAAUUCCUUUAAUCUAACCUUCAACUUGUA
RNAcentral lists this long non-coding RNA (231 nucleotides) under Capsicum annuum. RNAcentral describes it as "long non-coding RNA (CANN_LNC009461)". Lineage: Eukaryota; Viridiplantae; Streptophyta; Magnoliopsida; Solanales; Solanaceae. The record is from RNAcentral.